Molecule: long non-coding RNA, 847 nt
Filed under: Homo sapiens (human)
Lineage: Eukaryota; Metazoa; Chordata; Mammalia; Primates; Hominidae
Description: long non-coding RNA NONHSAT173020.1
Source: RNAcentral
UUCUAUAGAAUCAGCACCCAUCUUUGAGUCAGAGUUUGAGAUGCAAAUCCUUUACUGUAUAGCCUUGAUCAAAUGACUUCACCUCAUUGAAUUAAUCUUCUUCUGCAUAAAAUGGGGUCACCAUCUGCUUAUCUAAAUUGUUACAAAUGGGACAGUAUAUGUGCCAUUCCAGAUACCUAAUCACAGCUCAAUCGAUGCUGGUGUCUUUUUCCUUUUUCCUUCUGCAGAAAACAUGCUUUACAUAGGAUCUCUGAACUUAAAGAAUGGGAAGAAGAAAAAUCAUGUUUCCAGCUUGGGCUGCUGUUUCAUCUGUUGGACUUGCUUGAAGCGUAUGGGUUUGUUUACCCUUCCUGCAGGCAUCCAACCUGGCCUUUUAUUCCUGCUCAAGUAGGACAUGCAGCCUGCUGGGGACCCGUGGCUCAAAUCCUCCAACUGCAGGACUGCCGGCCCUGGGACUCAUGAAUAAUGGAAGUGCAGUAACCACUCCUUACAGCCCAGACGACUUUCCAGGAGCAGGCUGUACCCCGAAAGUAAACAAGGAACAAGGGGCAAGGAGACAGAGAGAGAUGGGGAAAUGAUCCCUGAAUGGAAAGGAAUGCUAUGCACACUUUUUGGAUACAGGAAGUGAGAUUCAGAGGGGUUAAACAGCUUUCCUAAAGCCACACAGCGAGAGAGUCGAUCUGAACUGAAGAUUGUUUGACAUCAAAGCUCAUUUCUUUCCCUAAAUGUCAGCAUUCUUUCCUGACUUAUUAAUUUGAUUUCUGUCCUCCCCUCAUGGAAGUUAAUUAAAGGAAUGCGAGAACCUUUUAGAAAAUCUCCAGGGCAGCUUCUGUGUUGAUCAUUGUUU